Salmo salar (Atlantic salmon) is the source of this 796-nucleotide non-coding RNA. The record is from Rfam. Lineage: Eukaryota; Metazoa; Chordata; Actinopteri; Salmoniformes; Salmonidae.
CCGACUUCGGCGGAAGUCGUGACGGCUGUUGAUGCACCCAACUUAUAAAAAAAAAAAAUGAUGGGAAGUUUGGCGUAUAGAAGACCGCUUUGCCCGGUGUCGAUCGGGGGCCUGAGUCCUUCUGAUCGAGGCUCAGCCCGUGGACGGUGUGAGGCUGGUAACGGCCCCCGUCAUGCCGGGGUCCGGUCUUCUCGGAGUCGGGUUGCUUGUGAAUGCAACCCAAAGCGGGUGGUAAACUUUAUCUAAGGCUAAAUAUCGGCACGAGUCCAAUAGUCAACAAGUACCGUAAGGGAAAGUUGAAAAGAUCUUUGAAGAGAGAGUUCAAGAGGGUGUGAAACCGUUGAGAGGUAAACGGGUGGGGUCCGCGCAGUCUGCCCGGAGGAUUCAACUCGGCGGGUCAGGGUCAGCCGUUCCGGUGUGGUCGGAUCCCCUCGUGGGACUGAACCCCGGUCGGGCUCGGACCCCGCCGGGCGCAUUUCCUCCGUCUGUGGUGCGCCGCGACCGGCUCUGGGUCGGCUUGGAAGGGCUUGGGGCGAAGGUGGCUACUGGUUUCGGCCGUGAGCUUUACAGCGCCCCUGCUCCAUACUCGCCGCUUUCCAGGGCCGAGGACUUAGUACCCGCUGCGUCAUGUCCCCCUGCGGGGGGGGUACGGGUCCCCCGGCGCGACUGUCAACCGGGUCUGACUGUCCUCAGUGCGCACCCGACUGCGUUGCGUCGCCAGGGAUUGGUUCACGUAAACUGGCGCCAGGGGUCAGCGGCGAUGUUGGCAACCCACCCGGCCCGUCUUGAAACACGG